RNAcentral lists this ribosomal RNA (230 nucleotides) under uncultured bacterium. Its description in RNAcentral is "partial 16S ribosomal RNA". It matches the Rfam family "Bacterial small subunit ribosomal RNA", at positions 15 to 235 of the family's 1533-position model. The record is from RNAcentral.
GAUCCUGGCUCAGGAUGAACGCUAGCUACAGGCUUAACACAUGCAAGUCGAGGGGCAGCAUGGUCUUAGCUUGCUAAGACUGACGGCGACCGGCGCACGGGUGAGUAACACGUAUCCAACCUGCCGUCUACUCUUGGGACAGCCUUCUGAAAGGAAGAUUAAUACAAGAUGGCAUCAUGAGUCCGCAUGUUCAUAUGAUUAAAGGUAUUCCGGUAGACGAUGGGGAUGCG